GUAAAUUAUCAGCGUAUCCUGACCAACUACUUAUUUCAAUUAUACACUACAAUAUGCUUUGGUAAAUGUUGAUUAACAAUGGACAAAAAGGGACCGAAAAGAACGGAGCAAGAUUGAGUAGUUGAUAAUGAUCAACCAACUACUUCAAUGUAACUAAAAAAUAAAAGAAACACGCACAUACAUCAAACAACAGAUUCACCCAUCAUAUGAAAUAUAACAAUAGAAAAGGUGCUACUAUACUUACAACGCCAUCCAAGGAUUCAAUAGCAUUGUUGACCUCUGCGGAAGAGCUGAAGGUUACAAAACCAAAACCUCUUGAUCUGCCACUCUCCCUGUCGUAAAUCACCCUCGCUUCAACGACCUUUCCUUGCUCACUAAACAAACUCUGAAGCGCCAAAUCAUCAACACCCCAUGCAAGGUUACC
Long non-coding RNA from Juglans microcarpa x Juglans regia, 424 nucleotides. RefSeq lists it as uncharacterized. Lineage: Eukaryota; Viridiplantae; Streptophyta; Magnoliopsida; Fagales; Juglandaceae. The record is from RefSeq and is a predicted model, not a curated record. The transcript is spliced from 2 exons.